This 379-nucleotide ribosomal RNA is filed under the name uncultured eukaryote. RNAcentral describes it as "partial 18S ribosomal RNA". It matches the Rfam family "Eukaryotic small subunit ribosomal RNA", at positions 592 to 975 of the family's 1831-position model. The record is from RNAcentral.
CAAUAGCGUAUAUUAAAGUUGUUGCGGUUAAAAAGCUCGUAGUUGGAUUUCUGCUGAGGACGACCGGUCUGCCCACUGGGUGUGUAUCUGGUACGGCCUUGGCAUCUUCUUGGAGAACGUAUCUGCACUUCAUUGUGUGGUGCGGUAACCAGGACCUUUACUUUGAGGAAAUUAGAGUGUUUCAAGCAGGCGUGCGCCUUGAAUACAUUAGCAUGGAAUAAUAAGAUAGGACCUUAGUUCUAUUUUGUUGGUUUCUAGAGCUGGGGUAAAGAUUAAUAGGGAUAGUUGGGGGCAUUCGUAUUUAACUGUCAGAGGUGAAAUUCUUGGAUUUGUUAAAGACGGACUACUGCGAANGNAUUUGCNAAGGAUGUUUNCAUUG